GACGAACGCUGGCGGCGUGCCUAAUACAUGCCAGUUGAGCGCUGAAGGUUGGUACUUGUACCAACUGGAUGAGCAGCGGACGGGUGAGUAACGCGUGGGGAAUCUGCCUUUGAGCGGGGGACAACAUUUGGAAACGAAUGCUAAUACCGCAUAAAAACUUUAAACACAAGUUUUAAGUUUGAAAGAUGCAAUUGCAUCACUCAAAGAUGAUCCCGCGUUGUAUUAGCUAGUUGGUGAGGUAAAGGCUCACCAAGGCGAUGGUACAUAGCCGACCUGAGAGGGUGAUCGGCCACAUUGGGACUGAGACACGGCCCAAACUCCUACGGGAGGCAGCAGUAGGGAAUCUUCGGCAAUGGACGAAAGUCUGACCGAGCAACGCCGCGUGAGUGAAGAAGGUUUUCGGAUCGUAAAACUCUGUUGGUAGAGAAGAACGUUGGUGAGAGUGGAAAGCUCAUCAAGUGACGGUAACUACCCAGAAAGGGACGGCUAACUACGUG
Molecule: ribosomal RNA, 497 nt
Filed under: uncultured bacterium
Lineage: Bacteria
Description: partial 16S ribosomal RNA
Rfam family: Bacterial small subunit ribosomal RNA
Source: RNAcentral